Molecule: ribosomal RNA, 449 nt
Filed under: uncultured bacterium
Lineage: Bacteria
Description: bacterial SSU rRNA
Rfam family: Bacterial small subunit ribosomal RNA
Source: RNAcentral
AACGAACGCUGGCGGCAUGCCUAACACAUGCAAGUCGAACGAGACCUUCGGGUCUAGUGGCGCACGGGUGCGUAACGCGUGGGAAUCUGCCCUUGGGUUCGGGAAUAACAGUUAGAAAUGACUGCUAAUACCGGAUGAUGUCUUCGGACCAAAGAUUUAUCGCCCAAGGAUGAGCCCGCCGUAAGAUUAGCUAGUUGGUGAGGUAAUGGCUCACCAAGGCGACGAUCUUUAGCUGGUCUGAGAGGAUGAUCAGCCACACUGGGACUGAGACACGGCCCAGACUCCUACGGGAGGCAGCAGUGGGGAAUAUUGGACAAUGGGCGAAAGCCUGAUCCAGCAAUGCCGCGUGAGUGAUGAAGGCCUUAGGGUUGUAAAGCUCUUUUACCAGGGAUGAUAAUGACAGUACCUGGAGAAUAAGCUCCGGCUAACUCCGUGCCAGCAGCCGCGGU